This 4212-nucleotide small RNA is filed under the name Pongo abelii (Sumatran orangutan). RNAcentral describes it as "processed transcript". Lineage: Eukaryota; Metazoa; Chordata; Mammalia; Primates; Hominidae. The record is from RNAcentral.
GGACAUUCUGCCUCUCAGUUUCUCCAUCUACUAAAGAGCUCAGACUGUGCACUUCUCCCUCCCACAGUACACUUUACACAGCUUUGACCAUCCUCCCUGCUGCUUGGAUUGCAAAGGACAGGAUACUCUUCCAAAAGACAGACAACCUUUCUCUCUCCAAACAGGUAGAAUCCUUUUCAGGCCCGUUAACGCCAGGCAAGAGACCCCAGUAGAUCGCAGCCUUUUGCAUAUCAGCCAGGAGUGUCCUUGUCCUAGAGGAGGAACUAAUAGCUAUGGCAGACACAAUCCGCAAGGAAACCAAUUUCCUUCUAAAUGAAAGCCGGGAGAGGGCUCCUCCUCGUUGCUUGUGUCCAUGGAAUAGGCAAUUCCCACAGACCCUGUAAGGAUGUGCUGCAGGUGGCCUCAGGAUGUCCACAUCCCUGGGUCCCGCUGUGCCCUGGAAAUCCCCAUCUCCAGGAGUCCCACGUCCACACAUGUGGCUUUUCUCUCUUUCGGCCGGAAACCACGCUUGCUUAGCCACGCAGCAUACCAUGUAGUCAGUGCUCUGGCAGCAGCAACACUCCUACCCGCCUGUCUGUGCGUGCAUCCAUGGCACACUCCUGUCCUGGGCAGGUUUCCUCUGCACACUUUGCAGGGGUGCCAGUGUACCUCUCAUCCUCCAGGUGAGGCCAAGGACAAUUGCAAGCUUUUCCUCUGUCCUCUUCUCACUCCUUAGCUCCCCUCUCCUCUCCAUUCAGUGGCAGCAGCCUCACACCAAAAAGGAAAAUCCUGGACCCAUUACAUAAUUGUCCAUAGUGCAAGCAGUAGCUGGGGCAUAAGGUCAGAGGUCAUAGUGGGGUCAGGUGGCUGACACACACUGUAACGACAAGGUGGUUAAAAUUAGACCACAGAGAGGAAACUGGCAGUCUUGUGGAAAUGCAGAAGUUUCCUAUGCAAGUGAGAGGCUGGAGAUGCAGGGAGGCCACUGUGCGUGCUGCCUGCCAGGCUAUUACUCAUUUCGGCUCUGUUCUUUAAUGCCUUUUAGCCCCUGCUUCUGUAUUUCUAGCCUUCCUCAUCACAUGUUUGAAUACACGCAAUGGAACCAUGCUUACCUGCCCUGGGCCAAGACAAGCUUUCCUUCUCCUUCAUGGAGGUAAGCCCAGGACCACGCACCCCAAGCUCAAGGGGCUGAACUUUUUCUAAGCCCUUCUGGGUAGCCGAGAACCUUCUACAUCAGCCUCUCAGGUGAAGGUGGUCAAAGUACUUAGCUUGAGAUUCCAGCCUAUAAUGGUAACAGGGCCAAUGGUGAGUGAAAGCAGAGAACACUCCUAGACCAGGUAGGAAAGCAGGGUUGGCUUUUGGUGAAGGUGGCAGAGGAUGCAGCCAUGGAGCACACAGUUGACUGGUGUGUGCCGCACUUUCCUGGGCAGCCAGCCAGCACAGCGGUGCUCAUUUACUUCCACUGUCUUAGAGAACAUGGGUCAUGCCUGCUUCAUCUGCUCUCUGUGGUACCCAGCCGAGCUUCCCUGGGCUGUCCAUCUUUAUUGUGAGCCUACUGUGUGCACAGCUUGUCCUUGCAAUUCUUGCCAGUGAUGUACGAAAACGAUGAGAUUUAGGCUUUGCCACCAGAGGGGUUGCUGUCCACAUGAGAGAAAGAACACCUGCACCUGUAAAAUGAUCAUCAGUAGUCUCCAGGUUAUUGCAGCUGACUGCAAAAGGGUCACAGUGCUGAAGUACUUUCUGGAAGCCCUUUGUGGACAAGAAGAGCCUCUGCUGGCAUUCAAGGAUGGAAAGUAUGUGUCAGUGGCACCCGCCCCAGACACCAUGGGAAAGGAAAUGGGAAGCCAAGAGGGAACACGACUGGAAGAUGAGGAGGAGGAUGUGGUGAUUGAAGACUUUGAGGAAGAUUCAGAGGCUGAAGGCAGCGGAGGCGAGGAUGACAUCAGGGAACUUCGGGCCAAGAAGCUGGCUCUGGCCAGGAAGAUAGCUGAGCAGCAGCGUCGCCAGGAAAAGAUCCAGGCUGUCCUAGAGGACCACAGUCAGAUGAGGCAGAUGGAGCUCGAAAUCAGACCUUUGUUCCUCGUACCAGACACCAACGGCUUCAUUGACCACCUGGCCAGUCUGGCGCGGCUGCUGGAGAGCAGGAAGUACAUCCUGGUGGUGCCCCUCAUCGUGAUCAAUGAGCUGGACGGCCUGGCCAAGGGGCAGGAGACAGACCACCGGGCUGGGGGCUACGCCCGUGUGGUACAAGAAAAGGCCCGCAAGUCCAUCGAGUUCCUCGAGCAGCGAUUCGAGAGUCGGGACUCUUGCCUGCGAGCCCUGACCAGCCGUGGCAAUGAACUCGAAUCCAUCGCCUUCCGCAGUGAGGACAUCACUGGCCAGCUGGGUAACAACGAUGAUCUCAUCCUCUCCUGCUGCCUCCACUACUGCAAAGACAAGGCCAAGGACUUUAUGCCUACCAGCAAAGAGGAGCCAAUCCGGCUACUGCGGGAGGUGGUGCUGUUGACAGAUGACCGGAACCUGCGUGUGAAGGCGCUCACAAGGAAUGUUCCUGUACGGGACAUCCCAGCCUUCCUCACAUGGGCUCAAGUGGGCUGAGGGAGCCACACUGGGGCCCCCCCCGUGGAACCGUUCCUGAAAGGCCACCAGGCGCCCAGUGUAGCACGGAAGAUGCCCACGUGCCUGAGCCACCAAUCCACCCAGACAAUAAACCAUCCUCUUCCAACGCACGCCGUGGCCAUGCUGUGGGGGAGCUGCUCCUCACAGAGCCCCUCCCAAGGAUUGGGCAGAAGCUGCUGGGACCCUCCUGGGCUGCCAGGAUUUAGCAGGGAGGUGGCUGGCUACAGCAACAGCAGCUGGGCAAGCCAGAUAGGCCGCCCAUGCUCUCAGCCUUUCUCCCUCCCCCGUCUCAUUCCAAGGCUGGGGGAGGGCCUUCUCGCCUGGGGACGCAGCCACUUUCUCCAGUGGAGACAGGGCAGGGGUCCAGAGUUUCCGUCAGAUGCAGUGAAAUCACAGGUCCCUUUCAUCUUCAGAACCUCUGUCCUGAAUGUGUUCAAGAGGCUUUGGUUAUGUCAGGAAGAAGUGCCCAGGGUGUAUGUCCCCAGUUCCCCCGAGGUCUGGACUCGCCCAUGGACCCAAGUUGGCUUUUAGACACCAUGUCCCUAACAGCAGCCCUGGGCCCCCACCUCUUCUACCAUCCACCCCAGACUUACCACACGCCCUUCCUGCUGCUCUUCUUCCUGCCCUUAUCAACCUGGGUCCCUCACACUUUGCCAGUUGCUUCCCCGUGGACAGUCAUGAGUCUAGAGGAAAGGGGCAUCUGGUCUCAGGCCCGUGCUCUCAGGUGGCCUCCACCUGCUCCCUCUCUCCUCACUGGCCUUUCAGUCUAGCUUCCUCUUCAGGAAAUGUCCUGACUCUCCUCAGCUCCCCCUUCACCCCUCCUUGCCCACCUACCCUCCCUCCAGAAUAGCUCCUCAUCCUCCUUCCCCUUCUAGUUGAUCCUUUUCACCUCCCUGAUCCCCUUCAUUUCUUCACCGCGGUUCCUCGUCAUAGGGGUUCUCACUCUGAACUUUCCCUCUCUACUACCCAUGGCAGGAACCUAGUACAGCUCUCACACCCAGGGCCUUCCACCCUCGGCUCCUGUGCUGGGAGAAACUUCCAGGCAUGGACAGCCCAGCCUGAGGCAUUCCAGUGCCUGGGGCAACGUCGCCUAACCUGGUUUCUAGCUUUGCCCUCACUUCCCGGAAAAACUGACACAGGGGCCCCUUCCUUGCCCCUUUAGCUGGUACCUCAGUGGGGAGGCUUCCUUACCAAGAAUGAGUUCCUGAAAUCCAGGGCCAGAGGUAAGGGCAACUUAGGGGAAGACAGGGUUUUUGAUGGAGCCAGGGGCAGAUCUUAAUGGGACCAGUGGGGGAUACCCCAGAGCCCAUGGCCUGACUGCACAGCCUGCCUGGAGGAUGGGUGCACAGCUCUGCCCUCCCUGAGGCCCAGGACUAUGCCAGAAGCGAUGGGGUACCGUGCAGGGGAGCCAAGGCCAAUAGUUUGGGGGUGGGAGUCCCCUAGAGUCUCAGAAGACUGGGCUCUUUGGAGUACAGGGUCCCCGGCCUCUCCUUUAAGAUUCUCUCCCCAGCUAGAAGGCCGAUGACUGGGUGGUCGGGAGGGAGACCCAUCUCUCCUUUCUGUCCCGUUUGCAGCAUUGGUUUUGUUUCCUUAAUAAAUUUUUAGUUAUGAAAC